CUAUCCGCUGCGCUCUGUCCACAGCUGGAUGUCGGAAAUGGUAGUUGCGUGCAGCUUUCAAGGAGCCGCCCCCGCCCUCGCGGAAACUUUGCAUCUAUAAGGGGCGGUUCCCGGAAGGCGGGUAACGCCGAGUUCUGCUACCCUGCUACUUGGGAGACCCAGGUGCGUCCCGGCGCGGUGACCCACUUCUAGGAGUUGACGUUUUUUUCAGUUUGCUUGAAGCCGGAGGCAAUGGUGUCAGCUAAGAGAAUGACUUGUGGCUGGGAUCGUCCCUUCCAAGAAGCUCUCGGUCGCAUUCCAGCGUCUCGGUGGAGUCGAUGGUGGUACAAGAGUCAUAGCCCGCUCCGGAGAAGAGAUGAAAUGGAGCUAUUAGCACUAGCAAAAGCCUGCACAGCUAAAUCCUUAGGAAUAGCCAACCUUGACCUGCCAGCUAGUCUCAGAACUGUUACUGGAGUUAAAGAAACAGUGGAACAGCUGUACCAAAUACCGCAAAGCUCGAAGUAAACCAGAUUUAUCCAAACAAAACUUUAAGAAAAACUACUCUUAGAAAGAUCUGGUGAACCAUUUUUGUUUGAUUUACCUUAGGUUACACUCCUCAGAAAACCUAGCUGAAUGUAAUUUGCCAAAGUCAAAAUAACAGAUCUGAAAACAGUAGAGAGGCUCUCACUCAUGAAAGUGGAGCAGUAACGAACUUUGUUUUGGGGAACCAACUGGAGCAGAUUGGGACUGUUCCCGAAAGUCCCAUUUUCUAAGACAUCUGUCCUGGGUGAAAAUGCCCUGGUUUUCAGCAGUGAGUGCAAAUAUUUGAGGGGAGCGCAGGGGUACAAAACCUAUAUUGUGGCCCUCCCAAGAGAGGCUGAAGACAACACCCUUUUUUAUGAAUGAAUAUGGUGAUUGUCUGCCUUCUGUUAACCACUGAUACCGGCAAUCUGGAUUUGUGUGGUUCACAUAGUAUAUCUACAUAACAUAGCAUUCUCUCAGAGCAGCUUAAAUUCCAGACAGGAGCGUUAACAGGCCAGUUAACUUUUGUGCUUUGCAUGGAGAUAGUGCUCAUGUAAUUUUUAACUUUGUGAAUAUUGAGACCAUGGUUUCUAAGAGUUCAGAUAUGAAAAUGAGAAUGAGUUCAAUACCAAUGCCAGCCUGACAGUACCAAAAAGAAGACUAAAUGGCCCUGGUUUUUCUUUCUUUCUUCUUCUUUCUUUCUUUCUUUCUCUCUUUCUCUCUUUCUCUCUUUAUCUCUUUCUCUCUUUCUCUCUUUCUCUUCCUCUCUCUCUCUCUUUCUCUCUCUUUCUCUCUCUCUCUCUCUUUCUUUCUCUCUCUCUCUCUCUUUCUCUCUUUUUAGGGCCACACUCGAGGCCUAUGGAGGUUCCCAGGCUAGGGGUCCAAUUGGAGCUGUAGCCACUGGCCUACGCCACAGCCACAGCAACUCCGGAUCCGAACCUGUGUCAUCAUGAAUACUAGUUGGGUUGGUUAACCACUGAGCCAUGACGGGAACUCUGGCUCUGUUAUUUUAAUGACAGAUAGAAGGACACUGGAUUAGGGAUGUAAAUAAUCCAGCAUACUGUACAAUAUGCAGGAAAAGAAUUUGGGGUUGGCCAUGGUGGAGAAGGGGAUGUGAAAACACGUAUGGAGACUGAAUCCCACAAGUCUGGAAUGAGACAAGCAGGCACUUUUGAAUCAAUACAGUGUUUUCAUUGCCCUGAAGGACACCAGCACUCAGUCAAAAAUAGCAGCUGCUGAAUUAGCUUGGGCAUACCACGAAAGGAUGAACAUGCCUUGUCCUAUUGCUCCCUUGAUUGCUUAGUGAAACUGAAUAAAGUUAUAUUUCCAGA
Molecule: long non-coding RNA, 1832 nt
Filed under: Sus scrofa (pig)
Lineage: Eukaryota; Metazoa; Chordata; Mammalia; Artiodactyla; Suidae
Description: lncRNA (ENSSSCG00050056388.1)
Source: RNAcentral